ACGGAAGGCAGCAGUGAGGAAUAUUGGUCAAUGGGCGCAGGUCUGAACCAGCCAAAUCGCGUGAGGGAUGGCGGUCCUAUGGAUUGUAAACCUCUUUUGUCGGGGAGUAACGUGCGGGACGUGUCCCGUCUUGAGAGUACCCGAAGAAAAAGCAUCGGCUAACUCCGUGCCAGCAGCCGCGGUAAUACGGAGGAUGCGAGCGUUAUCCGGAUUUAUUGGGUUUAAAGGGAGCGCAGGCGGCGCGUCAAGUCAGCGGUAAAAUGUCGGGGCGCAACCCCGGCCGGCCGUUGAAACUGCCGUGCUCGAGUUCGUGCGAGGAGAGCGGAAUGCGUGGUGUAGCGGUGAAAUGCAUAGAUAUCACGCAGAACGCCGAUUGCGAAGGCAGCCCUCCAGCACUGGACUGACGCUGAGGCUCGAAAGCGUGGGUAUCGAACAGGAUUAGAUACCCUGGUA
RNAcentral lists this ribosomal RNA (453 nucleotides) under uncultured Porphyromonadaceae bacterium. Its description in RNAcentral is "partial 16S ribosomal RNA". It matches the Rfam family "Bacterial small subunit ribosomal RNA", at positions 341 to 792 of the family's 1533-position model. The record is from RNAcentral. Lineage: Bacteria; Pseudomonadati; Bacteroidota; Bacteroidia; Bacteroidales; Porphyromonadaceae.